RNAcentral lists this ribosomal RNA (483 nucleotides) under uncultured bacterium. Its description in RNAcentral is "partial 16S ribosomal RNA". It matches the Rfam family "Bacterial small subunit ribosomal RNA", at positions 30 to 506 of the family's 1533-position model. The record is from RNAcentral.
AUUGAACGCUGGCGGCAGGCCUAACACAUGCAAGUCGAGCGGAUGAAGGGAGCUUGCUCCUGGAUUCAGCGGCGGACGGGUGAGUAAUGCCUAGGAAUCUGCCUGGUAGUGGGGGAUAACGUCCGGAAACGGGCGCUAAUACCGCAUACGUCCUGAGAGAGAAAGUGGGGGAUCUUCGGACCUCACGCUAUCAGAUGAGCCUAGGUCGGAUUAGCUAGUUGGUGGGGUAAAGGCCUACCAAGGCGACGAUCCGUAACUGGUCUGAGAGGAUGAUCAGUCACACUGGAACUGAGACACGGUCCAGACUCCUACGGGAGGCAGCAGUGGGGAAUAUUGGACAAUGGGCGAAAGCCUGAUCCAGCCAUGCCGCGUGUGUGAAGAAGGUCUUCGGAUUGUAAAGCACUUUAAGUUGGGAGGAAGGGCAGUAAGUUAAUACCUUGCUGUUUUGACGUUACCAACAGAAUAAGCACCGGCUAACUUCGU